Long non-coding RNA from Hyla sarda, 488 nucleotides. RefSeq lists it as uncharacterized. The transcript is spliced from 3 exons. Lineage: Eukaryota; Metazoa; Chordata; Amphibia; Anura; Hylidae. The record is from RefSeq and is a predicted model, not a curated record.
GUCCAGUUGUCCGACAAUCACGGACUGAACGGCCAAUCAGUGAGCUCAGAGGCGGGACAGCUAACAGGAAAACGAUGGGAAGUGGGCAUUUCUGUGAUUCUUGGCUGAUCCUGCAGAUGUGCAUCCCCCAACCAUUACUUACACUAGAGAAUAUGAAUGGAGUGUCCUCAUGAUGUGGGAAUCACAAGAUGAGCCGACUCUACCAUCUCAAGUCUUCAAUGAAAGCUUAGGAAACCUUCAGCAAAUUGCCACUUUAGGUUUGUCUGAUAACAACCAUUGCGGAAAGCUUCAAAAGAAGUCAUUACAUUUUUACUGUAUUGCUGAGAAUGGCGUUUUGUUAACAAAAAAAGAAAUACUCCACAAGGAGCAAAAAAUGUAUUACAUUUUUUGGGGUCACUUAUUUAUUUUAACCCUUAUUAAAUGUAUCUCAAAACAAUUUUAUUGUAUGUCUUUCCAUAUAAUAAAUAUUCCACAUUCUGUUUUGGAAA